AUUGAUUACCUCGAAUGCUUUAUUUGUCCAUUGCAAUUCCAAGAAUGGCAGCAAAGUGUUCAUGUAGCCAAUAUUCCUACUUUUUUGUCAUUUUUUCUUGCUUAGUUGGAAACUUGGAACAGCCAACAAAACACUCCUUCACCCUUGCCAUGACUUAGAAUAUGAAGUGAUGUUGGCGGGUUGGAUCAUGAGGGUUGAGAAUGGAGAAUAGUUUAAGAACAGUAGAUGCUGAACUUUUCACUAUCUGAAUAUGAGAGAAAUUCACCCUCUGCAUUAGUUGCAAAAGAUGCUGAUUUUGAUCAUAACAAUUAUAGUUGUUCAAGCAGUAGCAGAUUUGGCAACCUCACAGUCAUCUCAUUCAGAAUUCACGUCGUAUCCUCAACGGAGCUUAAGAUGCUGAUUUUGAUCAUAACAAUUAUAGUUGUUCAAGCAGUAGCAGAUUUGGCAACCUCACAGUCAUCUCAUUCAGAAUUCGCGUCCUAUCCUUAACGGUUAGCUUAUUAACGCGUUGUGGGCACUUCAUUUGGCAUCGUCUUUCAGGCUAAAUUCUUGGAAACUGGGGAGACGGUGGCCAUUAAGAAGGUACUGCAGGACCGACGGUCCAAGAACCGGGAGCUGCAGCUUAUGCAUUUGAUUAACCAUUCCAAUGUUGUUCUCCCUCAAGCACUGCUUCUUCUCAACCACAAGUAGAGAUGAGAUGUUUCUGAACCUUGUCAUGGAGUAUGUCCUGGAGACACUCUACCGUAUGCUUAAGAACUACAGUAAUGCCAAAAAGGGGAUGCCACUUAUCUACGUCAAGCUUUACACCUAUCAGGGGGCUUGCGUAUAUUCAUACUGUUCCUGGAGUCUGCCACAGGGAUGUGAAGCGACAAAAUGUUUGGUAUGUAUUAGUGAAUACUUUC
Triticum dicoccoides is the source of this 902-nucleotide long non-coding RNA. RefSeq lists it as uncharacterized. The record is from RefSeq and is a predicted model, not a curated record. The transcript has 4 exons. NCBI's taxonomy places the organism in Eukaryota, Viridiplantae, Streptophyta, Magnoliopsida, Poales, Poaceae.